RNAcentral lists this ribosomal RNA (509 nucleotides) under uncultured bacterium. Its description in RNAcentral is "bacterial SSU rRNA". It matches the Rfam family "Bacterial small subunit ribosomal RNA", at positions 10 to 518 of the family's 1533-position model. The record is from RNAcentral.
AGUUUGAUCCUGGCUUAGGAUGAACGCUGGCGGCGUGCUUAACACAUGCAAGUCGAACGGAGUUUUUAAACGGAAGUUUUCGGAUGGAAGUUUAGAAACUUAGUGGCGGACGGGUGAGUAACGCGUGGGUAACCUGCCUCAUACAGGGGGAUAACAGUUAGAAAUGACUGCUAACACCGCAUAAUAUAGCGAAACCGCAUGAUUUUUGCUAUCAAAUAUUUAUAGGUAUGAGAUGGGCCCGCGUCUGAUUAGCUAGUUGGUGGGGUAAAAGCCUACCAAGGCGACGAUCAGUAGCCGGCUUGAGAGAAUGACCGGCCACAUUGGGACUGAGACACGGCCCAAACUCCUACGGGAGGCAGCAGUGGGGAAUAUUGGACAAUGGGGGAAACCCUGAUCCAGCGACGCCCGCGUGAGUGAAGAAGUAUUUCGGUAUGUAAAGCUCUAUCAGCAGGGAAGAUAAUGACAGUACCUGACUAAGAAGCCCCGGCUAACUACGUGCCAGCAGCAGC